RNAcentral lists this transfer RNA (88 nucleotides) under Tulasnella sp. 417. RNAcentral's name for it is "tRNA-Tyr". It matches the Rfam family "tRNA". Rfam says of the family: Transfer RNA (tRNA) molecules are approximately 80 nucleotides in length. Their secondary structure includes four short double-helical elements and three loops (D, anti-codon, and T loops). The record is from RNAcentral. Lineage: Eukaryota; Fungi; Basidiomycota; Agaricomycetes; Cantharellales; Tulasnellaceae.
CCCUUUGUAGCUCAGCUGGAAGAGCGUGGGACUGUAAUGGAAAUCACGUGACAUCCCAAGGCCAUCGGUUCGAUCCCGAUCGAAGGGA